AUACGUAGGUGGCAAGCGUUGUCCGGAUUUACUGGGUGUAAAGGGUGCGCAGGCGGGACUGCAAGUUGGAUGUGAAAUACCGGGGCUCAACCCCGGAACUGCAUCCAAAACUGUAGUUCUUGCGUGGAGUAGAGGGAAGCGGAAUUCCGAGUGUAGCGGUGACAUGCGUAGAUAUUCGGAGGAACACCAGUGGCGAAGGCGGCUUACUGGGCUCUAACUGACGCUGAGGCACAAAAGUGUGGGUAGCAAACAGGAUUAGAUACCCUGGUAGUCCACACUGUAAACGAUGAAUACUAGGUGUGGGGGGACUGACCCCUUCCGUGCCGGAGUUAACACAAUAAGUAUUCCACCUGGGGAGUACGACCGCAAGGUUGAAACUCAAAGGAAUUGACGGGG
This 396-nucleotide ribosomal RNA is filed under the name uncultured bacterium. RNAcentral's name for it is "partial 16S ribosomal RNA". It matches the Rfam family "Bacterial small subunit ribosomal RNA", at positions 523 to 918 of the family's 1533-position model. The record is from RNAcentral.